GUCCCUGUAGCACAAUGGAUAGCGUGUUGGACUUCUAAUCCAAAGGUCGUGGGAUUUGAAUCCCACUUGGGAUG
Non-coding RNA from Trichonephila inaurata madagascariensis, 74 nucleotides. Lineage: Eukaryota; Metazoa; Arthropoda; Arachnida; Araneae; Nephilidae. The record is from the annotation of a GenBank genome assembly.